CUGGCUUAACUCAGUUGGUAGAGCGCUCCACUGGAAAUGGAGUGUUCCGUGGUUCGAUACAAGGACCAGG
Molecule: transfer RNA, 70 nt
Filed under: Ixodes scapularis (black-legged tick)
Lineage: Eukaryota; Metazoa; Arthropoda; Arachnida; Ixodida; Ixodidae
Description: tRNA-Ser
Source: RNAcentral